GGAGAUGUAGCUCGGUGGUAGAGCACUUGCCUAGCAUGCAGGAAGCUCUGAGUUUGAUCCUCGGCAACACAC
This 72-nucleotide transfer RNA is filed under the name Heterocephalus glaber (naked mole-rat). It matches the Rfam family "tRNA". Rfam says of the family: Transfer RNA (tRNA) molecules are approximately 80 nucleotides in length. Their secondary structure includes four short double-helical elements and three loops (D, anti-codon, and T loops). Lineage: Eukaryota; Metazoa; Chordata; Mammalia; Rodentia; Bathyergidae. The record is from Rfam by way of RNAcentral.